CCCACCCCCUGCCUGCAGGAGCCCGGCAGCCCUCACAACCCGGCUCAGACAUGGUGCCGGCCGGUAGGGUCAGCUCCUAGGAAGGGGGUGGCUGCAAAGCGCCCCAAGUGGGAACCACACCACAGAAGUCACUGUGUUUAAAGCAUUCACACUCGGAGAUUUGUAUGUGUGUGUUCACACACAUGUACAGUUAUUCAGAUAGUCACACAAGUUUACUUAAAACAACGUGUAGAUAGAUAGAUAUGAGAUAGAUUGAUAGAUAUGAGAUAGAUAGAGAUGUUAGAUAGAUUGAUAUUUGAUAGAUAGAUAUUAGAUAGACAGAUAGAUAGCUGUGGAUAGAUAACGUUGCUGGACAUAAGCUGAGGGCAGCAGCAGCAGCAGAGCAGGACAGUAGUCUCUCCCCGUCCAUGCAGCAGAGUAGAGGACUAUACUGUAGAAGCAGGAUGCAUGGAGACUGGCUAGAGGUGGGGCCCACCGAUCACUAAACUACAAGGCUUGCUGUAGGAGAAGUCCGCUGACUGGCACACAGUGGAGGGACUGGCUGGUACCAGGACUGUUCCAGCUUGUGUGUGGGUGCAGCACUCCCGCUGUGUAUAAGGGGGGACAGACUACAAGAGGACUGUGUGUGCGCUCUAGGGCAUCGCCGCUUUAAAUGCAAGCCCCGAGGUCAUUUACACAGUUCAAAAAGGAAAGAAGCUUUCUUCACAUGGGAAGCAGCCUCUAGUAUAUGGAUUUCAAGAUUAAUAACACGAAAUUUGGCACAGAAAAAAACAUGAAGAAUUUGAAUAUUUGGGGGACACCUGCUUUUACCUGAAGAAGACGAUACGAGUGUGGAAUAUAUAUACAAACUGAGACUCAGGAUGGCCAUAAUUCUGGAAUUAAAUCCUUGCAGAACACUUGAAGUUUUCCAUUGGAGAAAUCAAAAUUUAUACAUAGUAUAUAUAAUGGAUUUAGUUUUUAUGACCCACUAGUGGAUAAUGAAUAGGUCAUUCAAGAAUGAAUCGGCCAUUGCUACCUGGGGCUAAGUUGUGCCUUUUUAGGACACCCAGAUCUCUGUGCCAUGAGUUUGUUGGUUACUGCCUUCUUGGGCUUUAUUCAGAGAGAAGGGUUAUAAGGGCAUGGCACAUAAACUAACAGAAGGUUGUCAGUUGUCACAGCUAGCAAAAGUUAUUGAAAGAAAAUUGUCAGGGCCAACAUGCUGUUGGUGAGUGGUACAAAAUCACGCCAGUGUAAUUUUUUCAAAAUAAUCAUAUAAUAAAAUGCUUGUAAGUCAAGUCACACAUUCUA
Long non-coding RNA from Bufo gargarizans (Asiatic toad), 1287 nucleotides. RefSeq lists it as uncharacterized. The record is from RefSeq and is a predicted model, not a curated record. Lineage: Eukaryota; Metazoa; Chordata; Amphibia; Anura; Bufonidae. The transcript is spliced from 4 exons.